Long non-coding RNA from Haliotis rubra (blacklip abalone), 335 nucleotides. RefSeq lists it as uncharacterized. The transcript is spliced from 2 exons. Lineage: Eukaryota; Metazoa; Mollusca; Gastropoda; Lepetellida; Haliotidae. The record is from RefSeq and is a predicted model, not a curated record.
UUUAAGACUAACCUAUUGUUUCUAUGUCGUGAGGGAGGGGUAGUUUUAGCGACGUGUUACUUGGAACUAAAAUCCAUCUACUGAACCGUAUAGACAGGUCGAGGACAUGCAUCACUAAACAAUGGGAAUGCACUGUAAAAUCGAGGACCCGUCCUCACGUUAAACUCAAAAUCAUUCCACAAAUGAUAUUUACACACAAUAGAGAGCUCUUUAUGGGUUUAUUGCAAUUUAAUUCCAGAAACCGCUAUCUACCUAUUAGAGUAGAUAAACUGACAUUGUGCAUUCUCUAUACCGAGGAAAAAUUAAUGAAUAAAUAUUGCUUCACGCAACAUCAA